AAUAAAUGGGAAUAUCAAUGCAUAGUUUUUAGCAUAACAUCUUGACUCCUCGAUAAUUAUAUCCGUUCGGAGCCUACGCAGAAUUAGCCUGAAUUGCAUGGUAACUGCUGCUGCUUUAAAAUUUUUAAAAAUUACUCAUAAUUUUCCCAAAGAUUACCAAGAUCUCGAGUGCACAAUGUCAUCAGCGUAAUGAAGAGUAAACAUUUAUGCUAAUAAUCUGCAAUUUUUUUCAUCAGCUAUAAAGACAGAGGCUAUAUAGCCGAAAAUUUCAGUGCUAUUCGGCAAGCAGCGCUGCAAAAAAGCCUGCGGCGCUCGGAGUCGCCUGCUCCUGGGGACCUCUUUCCACUCUCUACUCCCAGGAUAGGAGGAUGGGGCCAGGGGGUUCUUUUUGGUUUCCUGGUUUUGUUUUGCUCUGGUUUGGCCGGUUUCAUAUUUUCCUGUUUUUCCUUUUUUCCCUCCCCUUUUUUCCCUUUAUUAUUUUUUCCUUUUUUUGCCUUUUCUUUCCCGUCCUUUUCCCAGCCAAAAGCUGCCUUCGAUCCUUUUGAUUUGAUGUAGCAAAGAGUGUGUGUCCAGAUUAUCUGAAAUUGACACUGAAGAAGACUUGUAAUAGAUAUUCACUGAGACCAGGAUGUCACUGCAACCAGCCCUGGGGCGGCCUUGCAUUCAGAUCUCAUUUCAAGGUAACUGACAGCGCAGAAACAGGUGAGCUAGUCAGGAACUGAGGACAGUUACCAUAAGUCAACAUUGUUACGCCUUAAGUUGUGCUAUUUAGUUAUGGUUAUUUCUGAGGGACUUCGGCCUUUGGGCAGGAGGUAUAAUAUUAAUAUCUUUCCCAAAGCAUUUGUGCUACAUAGUUUCCGAACAGACACUGAGAGUAGAAAAGAGAUGACUGAAUAAGGCAUAAUAAUCUAGGUUUUUUUUAAGAUCCUACCGAAACCUGUAAAUUAUGUAAAUCCAAUCUCGAUAAACCUGUGAUCUGAACAGCAUUCAAUAUAAACUAUUCUCCUAUAAAAAAAAAAUCUAGUUUCUUUCUUCUUCUUCUUUUUAAAGGAUCCAACUGAUUGGCAGGCAUCACGGCCACAUCUUAAACGUGUGUUACAACGGCGAUCUUCAUUUUAAUUUCCGAUGAGAGCAGAGGAAGAAAGCCCACUCUGGAAAAACACUUGGGGUCCCUCCCCCCAUCAUACCUCUCACUCCUCUUCAUAAAAGCAGCUGUGCAAUUACUAGGCGGCUAAAGAUAGCUGAGUGCAUUCUCCGACAACAAUUGCCUCCCUGGGUCCUCCUGGAACUUCCGGCCACAGGAGUGCCACAGAAUGCAUGUGUCAAGAAUGUAGAUGUUAGAGGGUUUCAGGCCGGGUGGAGCAAGGAAGGAGCAGGCCACAGCUCCCAGGUUCUUGGCAGAAUCCCUUAGCCGGGCUCAGUCCUAGAGGCUCAGUCUGUGCACUUCCCUCUGCUUUUGCACUAGCAGUUGGUUUUUAACAAAUACUACUGGGGCCAAAUGGGCUAGCAUCUCAUGAAUGUUCCCAACCACUGUUUAAAAGCAUGCCUCUUCUAUUACUCCGGGAUCCACGGUGAGCAGGAGAUUCACCUGAUUGCAGGGUUGAAAUCCGACUUCACAGAGACCAUCCAAAUGACUUGUAUGGCAAAUUCCUCUGCUCUCAGCACACAGCAGAUGCUGGUAAAAGUGGCUGUGGCCUGGGAAGGUGGUGCAUGGAUCUGCCUCUUGGUGGGUGUCUUGGGGACAAGGGAAAUCGUGGGGCAGGUUAGCAGUGACCCGAAGAGCCACAAUGGCUGCCGGCCACCAGAUGCCACCCGGCCGCGACCUGUUUCUGAUCUCAAGAGUUGUUCUGCCCUGCAUAUCUCACCUGCUUCUCUCUGCUGAAGUCUCCUCUAAAAAUCCUUUAAGACAGAGGGACACCUACCCGUGAGCCCAGGCCUGUUCAGGGUUGGAAGCCCUUUUGGAGGGACGUCUGAGGAGGGAGGGGUGGAAGCAGGUGUGUAAAGGCUGCUCAUGAACUUGCUUUCCAGUGCUACCCUGGUAUCACAGCUCGUGUUUCAGCUGGUGAGGAUCGUGGGAGAGAAAUCUCCUUUAAGGAGUUGUAUAUCCUGUGAUCAUUUUUGGCAGUUUAAUUCCCGUUUAUGAGACAGUUGUACACCACUCUAGUGUUUUCUAGAUAAAUUAAAUUUCUUAAUCCAUUUCGAGUACUUUUUAUAACUAAAAAUACAUUCCCCAAGAGGGCAGAGGAGUACUAUGUUUAAGCCCAUGCUCUUAUAAAGAAAUAAAAGUAUACAGGGAAAUAGUUUUGUGACAUUUUCACAUGAAUCCUAUGAACAAGACUGAUCUUCACAUGCGGAUCUCAAAUGACACCUGACUUGAUAAGUUAGGGGUUUUACUUUAAUCCUUCCAGAUUUUUAUUUUCAGCAGUGUUCUCUGAAUGAAGGAAUAGCCAAACCCAGGGAUUCCCUUUGAUGACAAGGAAUGCUCAAGUACAAUUAGUAAUAUUUUUGAGAGCCGACAACUGUUUUCCAAAAGAAUGGUAUUUUUUCGUUUGUUGGUUUUAAACUGGAUCACAAAUUGCUGUAUUUUUCUUAUAAUAGUGCUGAACUUUUAUUUGAGGUUUUUUGUUUCUGAAAAGCAGACAUGAUGGACUGAAAUAAAAGAUAAUUUAUUGCAGUGCUUACUUUCAUGUGCAGAGAGAAGCAGCGUAAUUGUAAUUUACAGUAGCUGUCAAGAAAAAUCCAUCACAGAUGACAUUAAAAUGACUUAUUUUGCCUGAGCCACUUAUUGUUUAAAUGUGCAUAAUCUAAUAGAGAUUGUUUUUAAAAAUCUGCUUUGUAUUGUUCUAAAUUAAUAUCAAAACAUACACUUAUGAAUUAAACAUUAAAAACCAUUUAUUGAUACCCUUA
Oryctolagus cuniculus (rabbit) is the source of this 2907-nucleotide non-coding RNA. Lineage: Eukaryota; Metazoa; Chordata; Mammalia; Lagomorpha; Leporidae. The record is from RefSeq and is a predicted model, not a curated record.